This 99-nucleotide transfer RNA is filed under the name Neophyllaphis podocarpi. Its description in RNAcentral is "tRNA-Val". The record is from RNAcentral. Lineage: Eukaryota; Metazoa; Arthropoda; Insecta; Hemiptera; Aphididae.
UAAAUAUCUAAAUUUAAGUAUAUCAUUUACAAUGAUAGGAUGUUGAAAAACUUUAUUUAAUUUAAUUUAUUAAUAUUAUUUAAUUUUUAAAAUAUUUAU